RNAcentral lists this unclassified non-coding RNA (633 nucleotides) under Leishmania donovani. Its description in RNAcentral is "gene:unknown". The record is from RNAcentral. Lineage: Eukaryota; Euglenozoa; Kinetoplastea; Trypanosomatida; Trypanosomatidae.
CCACCGGCACGGCCGGGGGUAAACGCCCACCGCCAAGAAAACGCAGCGGACCCCCCCCAAAAAAAAAAAACCCAAAUUCCCUUACCACAACGCCACCGUGGUAAAUAAGAAUCGUGCGCAACCAUACGCACACCCCGGCUGCUUCCACGCUACAAAUUCCAUUUCCCUUUAAUAAGAAUUGAGUCCCCCCCUCCUUGUCGCCAAAAACCUCUCGCCCAGGGAACCCUAAGCCCUCUAUCGCUUUCCGUGCCCCAAACCCAAACCGCAGAAGCGAAACCCGAGAACAGAACUAUCACCAGCUUCCGGCACGGCAAGCCACAUUCAUAGCAAAGCAACACAUCCACCUAGGGCGCCGAAAAGGUAAACUAAGCACCCCCCCCACAGCAAAACAUCCCCCCCGCACGACAUCUUGGCUUUAAACCUUUUUCACCCAGCACGAAAAUCAACUACCCCAAAGCCCUUUUCCCCAUGCCAGCCCGCCGCCCUUUCCUUUCUCCAAAACACCCGCAACAACAAGACAAACAAACACCCCUAUCCACCCCCCAAUUAUACACCCAUACCUUUUCCUCCUCACCACCGCCGCGCCUGUGACCAAAACAUUUCGGCCAGAAACGCACUAAAAACGCUUUUCAG